RNAcentral lists this ribosomal RNA (560 nucleotides) under uncultured bacterium. RNAcentral describes it as "bacterial SSU rRNA". It matches the Rfam family "Bacterial small subunit ribosomal RNA", at positions 13 to 563 of the family's 1533-position model. The record is from RNAcentral.
UUGAUCCUGGCUCAGGAUGAACGCUAGCGGCAGGCUUAAUACAUGCAAGUCGAGGGGCAGCAGCUUUAUAGCAAUAUAGAGGCUGGCGACCGGCAAACGGGUGCGGAACACGUACACAACCUUCCUUUAAGUGGGGGAUAGCCCAUAGAAAUGGGGAUUAAUACCCCGUAAUAUUAUUGAAGUGGCAUCACUUUAUAAUUAUAGUUUCGACGCUUGAAGAUGGGUGUGCGGCUGAUUAGGUAGUUGGCGGGGUAAAGGCCCACCAAGCCUUCGAUCAGUAGCUGAUGUGAGAGCAUGAUCAGCCACACGGGCACUGAGACACGGGCCCGACUCCUACGGGAGGCAGCAGUAAGGAAUAUUGGUCAAUGGACGCAAGUCUGAACCAGCCAUGCCGCGUGAAGGAUGAAGGUCCUCUGGAUUGUAAACUUCUUUUAUAGGGGGCGAAAAAAGGGAAUUCUUUCUCACUUGACAGUACCCUAUGAAUAAGCACCGGCUAACUCCGUGCCAGCAGCCGCGGUAAUACGGAGGGUGCAAGCGUUAUCCGGAUUCACUGGGUUUAA